This is a long non-coding RNA of Dama dama (fallow deer), 1389 nucleotides long. RefSeq lists it as uncharacterized. The record is from RefSeq and is a predicted model, not a curated record. NCBI's taxonomy places the organism in Eukaryota, Metazoa, Chordata, Mammalia, Artiodactyla, Cervidae. The transcript has 2 exons.
UACAAUUCUCUGAAGUGUAAAUUCAUAUAUUUUCUUGCCGGCAUUGGCUCUGAAGAAUUUCCUGUACUCCCUGCGUACCUUCAGUCCAAGCCAGUAAGCCCAAAUGACAGCAACUGCAUGCUUACGCCUAGCCUCCUCCUUCAAGCGCUUCAACUCCCUUCGAGCCUAGAACGUUUUAGACGGUAAAUAAAAGAGACAGCCCAAUGCAGAUAGCACAAAUGACCAGGAAAAGACACCCCACCAAACAGAAGAGCCACUUUAUGUAUCAGGAUUUCAGAAUGAAAGAGAAAUGCUGCACAAUCAUUUAAGUCCAAAGCAUCAGUGUCAGGCUGGCGUAUUUUCAGGGCACUGAGACUCUCUCUCCAAGGUGGACAAUCCAUGUGGGACCCGAGGGAAACACUCGCUGCCUGCCCCCUUCCUUCCAUGCCAUUCCUUUUCUCUGCCCUGUUCCCUCUCCCUCUUACAUCCUCACCCUCACUCUCUCCCUCCCUCCCUCAUCAAAGCCUCAGAACUGUAAGUGGCUCCUAAUAAUUUCUGUGGACUCCUCUCUGCUGCCAGUCCAUGGGGCUAAAGACACAGUGAAUUUCCGAGUCCAUUCACUUGAACAUAUAAAAAGAUAACUCUUAUGAACAACCAUUUAGAAAACUGGAAGGAAUAAAGGUUGCUUCUCUGAAGUUCCAAAAAAAAAAAAAAACACACACCAAAACACCCAAACUCUGCAAUUGGAAAAUUAGAAGUAGUAUGUAUCAAAAUUCAAUAUUAGCUAGGGCCCCAAACAGUGAUAUAUACAGAAGCAAGAUAAAAAGUGAAAACAACUCAUAGGUUUAAAAAUCAACCUAAGGGAAAAAUUAAUCUGAGGCGUGUUAUUUUAAAAGAUGAAAACAGACAGGCACUCAUGUUUCAUGACAUGAUAGUAGUGAGACCAGGUAAUGAGUUCACUCAAUGGAGAAAUCCCACUGUCCAAGAGACCCUCUGCCUCUGAUUCAGUUCCCUCAGUUUAUAAAAGGAACUAGCUGGUUCCACACAGACGUUCAGAGGCAAACACAAAUGAACAACUUUGGUGAGCUUGUGGCAAGUUAUGAUCUUUAUGCAGGCAAAUUAUGUUGACUUUUCUCAUUUUUCUCACAAUAUGGGUUUAUAACGCUGACAAGGUAGACUUAAAAACAUAGGACUAUUGUUGGUAUUUGAGUUUCUAACUGCGAUUCACAUUUUUAGCAGAGAUGACCUUUGAUUUUCUAAGUAACGAAAACAUCUAAAAUGCUCGUCCCUUGGGAAAUGUGAAAUGUUCACAGAGCCCACGACUCUGCCUGGGGAUUAGCGAGAGUAUUUCAGGAGGCCUUUGUUUCUGAACACAAACAGCUGAUGCCGAAAUUCCUGGGAUUCUUCAGG